This 462-nucleotide ribosomal RNA is filed under the name uncultured bacterium. RNAcentral describes it as "partial 16S ribosomal RNA". It matches the Rfam family "Bacterial small subunit ribosomal RNA", at positions 29 to 507 of the family's 1533-position model. The record is from RNAcentral.
AUGAACGCUGACAGAAUGCUUCACACAUGCAAGUCGAUGGGGAAGUGGUGCUUGCACCAUGGCAACCAUGGCGGACGGGUGAGUAACGCGUAAGGGACUUACCUGCAGGACUGGGAUAACAGGGGGAAACUCCUGACAAGACCGGAUAAUGUCAUGGAGCUGCAUGGCUUUAUGAUGAAAGGAGACGCCUGCGGAGAGCCUUGCGUCCUAUUAGCUAGUUGGUGAGGUAAUGGCUCACCAAGGCGAAGAUAGGUAGCCGGCCUGAGAGGGUGGACGGCCACAAGGGGACUGAGAUACGGCCCUUACUCCUACGGGAGGCAGCAGUGGGGAAUAUUGGACAAUGGGGGCAACCCUGAUCCAGCAAUUCUGUGUGCACGAAGAAGGUUUUCGGAUUGUAAAGUGCUUUCAGCAGGGAAGAAGUAAGUGACGGUACCUGCAGAAGAAGCGACGGCUAAAUACGUG